Molecule: ribosomal RNA, 76 nt
Filed under: Pteropus alecto (black flying fox)
Lineage: Eukaryota; Metazoa; Chordata; Mammalia; Chiroptera; Pteropodidae
Source: RNAcentral
GUCUGCGGCCACGCCCCCCUGAACAAGCCCGAUCCCAUCUGAUCUCGGAAGCCAAGCAGAGUUGGUGCCGUAGGCA